Molecule: ribosomal RNA, 496 nt
Filed under: uncultured bacterium
Lineage: Bacteria
Description: partial 16S ribosomal RNA
Rfam family: Bacterial small subunit ribosomal RNA
Source: RNAcentral
GAUGAACGCUGGCGGCGUGCCUAAUACAUGCGAGUCGAGCGAACAGACGAGGAGCUUGCUCCUCUGACGUUAGCGGCGGACGGGUGAGUAACACGUGGAUAACCUACCUAUAAGACUGGGAUAACUUCGGGAAACCGGAGCUAAUACCGGAUAAUAUAUUGAACCGCAUGGUUCAAUAGUGAAAGACGGUUUUGCUGUCACUUAUAGAUGGAUCCGCGCCGCAUUAGCUAGUUGGUAAGGUAACGGCUUACCAAGGCAACGAUGCGUAGCCGACCUGAGAGGGUGAUCGGCCACACUGGAACUGAGACACGGGCCAGACUCCUACGGGAGGCAGCAGUAGGGAAUCUUCCGCAAUGGGCGAAAGCUUGACGGAGCAACGCCGCGUGAGUGAUGAAGGUCUUCGGAUCGUAAAACUCUGUUAUUAGGGAAGAACAAAUGUGUAAGUAACUAUGCACGUCUUGACGGUACCUAAUCAGAAAGCCACGGCUAACUACGU